AACGAACGCUGGCGGCAUGCCUAACACAUGCAAGUCGAACGAGACCUUCGGGUCUAGUGGCGCAAGGGUGCGUAACGCGUGGGAACCUGCCCUUAGGUUCGGAAUAACUCCCCGAAAGGGGUGCUAAUACCGGAUAAUGUCUUCGGACCAAAGAUUUAUCGCCUUUGGAUGGGCCCGCGUUGGAUUAGCUAGUUGGUAGGGUAAAAGCCUACCAAGGCGACGAUCCAUAGCUGGUCUGAGAGGAUGAUCAGCCACACUGGGACUGAGACACGGCCCAGACUCCUACGGGAGGCAGCAGUGGGGAAUAUUGGACGAUGGGCGAAAGCCUGAUCCAGCAAUGCCGCGGGAGUGAUGAAGGCCUUAGGGUUGUAAAGCUCUUUUACCCGGGAUGAUAAUGACAGUACCGGGAGAAUAAGCACCGGCUAACUACGUG
This 433-nucleotide ribosomal RNA is filed under the name uncultured bacterium. RNAcentral describes it as "partial 16S ribosomal RNA". It matches the Rfam family "Bacterial small subunit ribosomal RNA", at positions 29 to 507 of the family's 1533-position model. The record is from RNAcentral.